This 468-nucleotide ribosomal RNA is filed under the name uncultured bacterium. RNAcentral's name for it is "partial 16S ribosomal RNA". It matches the Rfam family "Bacterial small subunit ribosomal RNA", at positions 28 to 507 of the family's 1533-position model. The record is from RNAcentral.
GACGAACGCUGGCGGCGUGCUUAACACAUGCAAGUCGAACGGAAAGGCCCUGCUUUUGUGGGGUGCUCGAGUGGCGAACGGGUGAGUAACACGUGAGUAACCUGCCCUUGACUUUGGGAUAACUUCAGGAAACUGGGGCUAAUACCGGAUAGGAGCUCCUGCUGCAUGGUGGGGGUUGGAAAGUUUCGGCGGUUGGGGAUGGACUCGCGGCUUAUCAGCUGGUUGGUGGGGUAGUGGCUUACCAAGGCUUUGACGGGUAGCCGGCCUGAGAGGGUGACCGGCCACCUUGGGCCUGCGGUACGGCCCAGUCUCCUACCGGCGGCAGCAGUGGGGAGUAUUACACAAUGGGCCGAAGCCUGAUGCAGCAACGCCGCGUGCGGGAUGACGGCCUUCGGGUUGUAAACCGCUUUCGCCUGUGACGAAGCGUGAGUGACGGUACUGGGUCAAGAAGCACCGGCUAACUACGUG